This 468-nucleotide ribosomal RNA is filed under the name uncultured bacterium. RNAcentral's name for it is "partial 16S ribosomal RNA". It matches the Rfam family "Bacterial small subunit ribosomal RNA", at positions 28 to 507 of the family's 1533-position model. The record is from RNAcentral.
GACGAACGCUGGCGGCGUGCUUAACACAUGCAAGUCGAACGGAAAGGCCCUGCUUUUGUGGGGUGCUCGAGUGGCGAACGGGUGAGUAACACGUGAGUAACCUGCCCUUGACUUUGGGAUAACUUCAGGAAACUGGGGCUAAUACCGGAUAGGAGCUCCUGCUGCAUGGUGGGGGUUGGAAAGUUUCGGCGGUUGGGGAUGGACUCGCGGCUUAUCAGCUUGUUGGUGGGGUAGUGGCUUACCAAGGCUUUGACGCGUAGCCGGCCUGGGAGGGUGACCGGCCACAUUGGGACUGAGAUACGGCCCAGACUCCUACGGGAGGCAGCAGUGCGGAAUAUUGCACAAUGGGCGGAAGCCUGAUGCAGCAACGCCGCGUGCGGGAUGACGGCCUUCGGGUUGUAAACCGCUUUCGCCUGUGACGAAGCGUGAGUGACGGUAAUGGGUAAAGAAGCACCGGCUAACUACGUG